Long non-coding RNA from Anas platyrhynchos (mallard), 426 nucleotides. RefSeq lists it as uncharacterized. NCBI's taxonomy places the organism in Eukaryota, Metazoa, Chordata, Aves, Anseriformes, Anatidae. The record is from RefSeq and is a predicted model, not a curated record.
CCCUCGGUGGCCGCCGGUGCUCGCUGAGGGGGCGGCGGGGCAGCACCGGGCGGCACCGGGUCGGUUCGGCCUCGUUACCGGGGCUUAAAGAGAGGCACGGCCGGGCCCCUAGGAAGGAGGCUGCAGCCCUCAUGGCUCUGCUAAACUUGCUGCUACAAGUACAGGUUACCCACUGGAAAACCCCUGUGCUUCCUGGGGUUACGGCCGUCCUGACCCACCCGUGACUGUGCCCUCGCUGCAGGGCCACAUCCAUGCCGACGGCAUUACGGAUCCCAAAGCACCAGGAUCCUCCCUUAUGGGACACCCGUUUCAACCUGCUCCUUCACUAGAAGCUUCAGGAUCACUCAUAGCUCUUGGUUUCUACAUCCUCACAAGCACUUCCAUUCUGACUUUCUGUUAAAUAAAUAAAUUAACACUUUAACCACA